This 468-nucleotide ribosomal RNA is filed under the name uncultured bacterium. Its description in RNAcentral is "partial 16S ribosomal RNA". It matches the Rfam family "Bacterial small subunit ribosomal RNA", at positions 28 to 507 of the family's 1533-position model. The record is from RNAcentral.
GACGAACGCUGGCGGCGUGCUUAACACAUGCAAGUCGAACGGAAAGGCCCUGCUGUUGUGGGGUGCUCGAGUGGCGAACGGGUGAGUAACACGUGAGUAACCUGCCCUUGACUUUGGGAUAACUUCAGGACACUGGGGCUAAUACCGGAUAGGAGCUCCUGCGGCAUGGUGGGGGUUGGAAAGUUUCGGCGGUUGGGGGUGGACUCGCGGCUUAUCAGCUUGUUGGUGGGGUAGUGGCUCACCAAGGCUUUGACGGGUAGCCGGCCUGAGAGGGUGACCGGGGACACUAGGGGAGUGAUACGGCGCCGACACCUCCGGGGGGGAGCGGAGGGGAAAAUAGCGGAAUAGGCGGGAGCCUGAUGUAGCAACGCCGCGUGCGGGAUGACGGGCUUCGCGUUGUAUACCGCUCUUGCCGGUGACGAAGAGUAAGUGACGGUAAUUGGUAAAGAAGCAACGGCUAACUACGUG